UUAAGCGACUAAGCGUACACGGUGGAUGCCCUGGCAGUCAGAGGCGAUGAAGGACGUGCUAAUCUGCGAAAAGCGCCGGCGAGGUGAUAUGAACCCUUGACCCGGCGAUGUCCGAAUGGGGAAACCCAGUGCAAUUCGUUGCACUAUCGUUAACUGAAUACAUAGGUUAACGAGGCGAACCGGGGGAACUGAAACAUCUAAGUACCCCGAGGAAAAGAAAUCAACCGAGAUUCCCCCAGUAGCGGCGAGCGAACGGGGAGCAGCCCGGAGUCUGAAUCAGCUUGUGUGUUAGUGGAACGGUCUGGAAAGUCCGACGGUACAGGGUGAUAGUCCCGUACACGAAAGCACACAUGCUGUGAACUCGAAGAGUAGGGCGGGACACGUGGUAUCCUGUCUGAAUAUGGGGGGACCAUCCUCCAAGGCUAAAUACUCCUGACUGACCGAUAGUGAACCAGUACCGUGAGGGAAAGGCGAAAAGAACCCCGGCGAGGGGAGUGAAAAAGAACCUGAAACCGUGUACGUACAAGCAGUGGGAGCCUCUUUAUGGGGUGACUGCGUACCUUUUGUAUAAUGGGUCAGCGACUUAUAUUCUGUAGCAAGGUUAACCGUAUAGGGGAGCCGAAGGGAAACCGAGUCUUAACUGGGCGUUAAGUUGCAGGGUAUAGACCCGAAACCCGGUGAUCUAGCCAUGGGCAGGUUGAAGGUUGGGUAACACUAACUGGAGGACCGAACCGACUAAUGUUGAAAAAUUAGCGGAUGACCUGUGGCUGGGGGUGAAAGGCCAAUCAAACCGGGAGAUAGCUGGUUCUCCCCGAAAGCUAUUUAGGUAGCGCCUCGUGAACUCAUCUUCGGGGGUAGAGCACUGUUUCGGCUAGGGGGCCAUCCCGGCUUACCAACCCGAUGCAAACUACGAAUACCGAAGAAUGUUAUCACGGGAGACACACGGCGGGUGCUAACGUCCGUCGUGAAGAGGGAAACAACCCAGACCGCCAGCUAAGGUCCCAAAGUCAUGGUUAAGUGGGAAACGAUGUGGGAAGGCACAGACAGCCAGGAUGUUGGCUUAGAAGCAGCCAUCAUUUAAAGAAAGCGUAAUAGCUCACUGGUCGAGUCGGCCUGCGCGGAAGAUGUAACGGGGCUAAACCAUGCACCGAAGCUGCGGCAGCGACACUAUGUGUUGUUGGGUAGGGGAGCGUUCUGUAAGCCGUUGAAGGUGUGCUGUGAGGCAUGCUGGAGGUAUCAGAAGUGCGAAUGCUGACAUAAGUAACGAUAAAGCGGGUGAAAAGCCCGCUCGCCGGAAGACCAAGGGUUCCUGUCCAACGUUAAUCGGGGCAGGGUGAGUCGACCCCUAAGGCGAGGCCGAAAGGCGUAGUCGAUGGGAAACAGGUUAAUAUUCCUGUACUUGGUGUUACUGCGAAGGGGGGACGGAGAAGGCUAUGUCAGCCGGGCGACGGUUGUCCCGGUUUAAGCAUGUAGGCGGAGGUUCCAGGUAAAUCCGGUACCUUUUAACGCUGAGGUGUGAUGACGAGGCACUACGGUGCUGAAGUGAUAAAUGCCCUGCUUCCAGGAAAAGCCUCUAAGCAUCAGGUAACACGAAAUCGUACCCCAAACCGACACAGGUGGUCAGGUAGAGAAUACCAAGGCGCUUGAGAGAACUCGGGUGAAGGAACUAGGCAAAAUGGUGCCGUAACUUCGGGAGAAGGCACGCUGAUGUGUAGGUGAAGCCCCUGCGGGCGGAGCUGAAAUCAGUCGAAGAUACCAGCUGGCUGCAACUGUUUAUUAAAAACACAGCACUGUGCAAACACGAAAGUGGACGUAUACGGUGUGACGCCUGCCCGGUGCCGGAAGGUUAAUUGAUGGGGUUAGCGGCAACGCGAAGCUCUUGAUCGAAGCCCCGGUAAACGGCGGCCGUAACUAUAACGGUCCUAAGGUAGCGAAAUUCCUUGUCGGGUAAGUUCCGACCUGCACGAAUGGCGUAAUGAUGGCCAGGCUGUCUCCACCCGAGACUCAGUGAAAUUGAACUCGCUGUGAAGAUGCAGUGUACCCGCGGCAAGACGGAAAGACCCCGUGAACCUUUACUAUAGCUUGACACUGAACACUGGUCCUUGAUGUGUAGGAUAGGUGGGAGGCUUUGAAGCGUGGACGCCAGUCUGCGUGGAGCCAACCUUGAAAUACCACCCUUUAAUGGCUGGUGUUCUAACGUAGACCCGUAAUCCGGGUUGCGGACAGUGUCUGGUGGGUAGUUUGACUGGGGCGGUCUCCUCCCAAAGAGUAACGGAGGAGCACGAAGGUUGGCUAAUCCUGGUCGGACAUCAGGAGGUUAGUGCAAUGGCAUAAGCCAGCUUGACUGCGAGCGUGACGGCGCGAGCAGGUGCGAAAGCAGGUCAUAGUGAUCCGGUGGUUCUGAAUGGAAGGGCCAUCGCUCAACGGAUAAAAGGUACUCCGGGGAUAACAGGCUGAUACCGCCCAAGAGUUCAUAUCGACGGCGGUGUUUGGCACCUCGAUGUCGGCUCAUCACAUCCUGGGGCUGAAGUAGGUCCCAAGGGUAUGGCUGUUCGCCAUUUAAAGUGGUACGCGAGCUGGGUUUAGAACGUCGUGAGACAGUUCGGUCCCUAUCUGCCGUGGGCGCUGGAGAAUUGAGGGGGGCUGCUCCUAGUACGAGAGGACCGGAGUGGACGCAUCACUGGUGUUCGGGUUGUCAUGCCAAUGGCACUGCCCGGUAGCUAAAUGCGGAAGAGAUAAGUGCUGAAAGCAUCUAAGCACGAAACUUGCCCCGAGAUGAGUUCUCCCUGAGACUUUAAGUCUCCUGAAGGAACGUUGAAGACGACGACGUUGAUAGGUCGGGUGUGUAAGCGCAGCGAUGCGUUGAGCUAACCGAUACUAAUGAACCGUGAGGCUUAACCUU
Molecule: ribosomal RNA, 2902 nt
Filed under: Enterobacter hormaechei YT2
Lineage: Bacteria; Pseudomonadati; Pseudomonadota; Gammaproteobacteria; Enterobacterales; Enterobacteriaceae
Description: bacterial LSU rRNA
Rfam family: Bacterial large subunit ribosomal RNA
Source: RNAcentral